Molecule: ribosomal RNA, 448 nt
Filed under: uncultured bacterium
Lineage: Bacteria
Description: bacterial SSU rRNA
Rfam family: Bacterial small subunit ribosomal RNA
Source: RNAcentral
GUCCAGACUCCUACGGGAGGCAGCAGUGGGGAAUAUUGCACAAUGGGGGAAACCCUGAUGCAGCGACGCCGCGUGAGUGAAGAAGUAUUUCGGUAUGUAAAGCUCUAUCAGCAGGGAAGAAAAUGACGGUACCUGAUUAAGAAGCCCCGGCUAACUACGUGCCAGCAGCCGCGGUAAUACGUAGGGGGCAAGCGUUAUCCGGAAUUACUGGGUGUAAAGGGUGCGUAGGUGGCAUGGUAAGUCAGAAGUGAAAGCCCGGGGCUUAACUCCGGGACUGCUUUUGAAACUGUCAUGCUGGAGUGCAGGAGAGGUAAGCGGAAUUCCUAGUGUAGCGGUGAAAUGCGUAGAUAUUAGGAGGAACACCAGUGGCGAAGGCGGCUUACUGGACUGUCACUGACACUGAUGCACGAAAGCGUGGGGAGCAAACAGGAUUAGAUACCCCAGUAGC